Molecule: ribosomal RNA, 585 nt
Filed under: Triticum aestivum (bread wheat)
Lineage: Eukaryota; Viridiplantae; Streptophyta; Magnoliopsida; Poales; Poaceae
Description: partial small subunit ribosomal RNA
Source: RNAcentral
AUGGCACUGGAGGAACUGGCCUCUGGUGCGACGGCGGUGGAGGUUGUCCCCACAUGCUCGGCCGCGGUGUUGGCGCCCCUGGCUCCAUGCGUUCUAAUUUUCCGUCCUCUAGGCCUUGUGGUGGUGGCCUUAGUGAGAUGGCGUGGGUGGCUUAAAGACCGUGGUGGCACAGGCAGGUGGGGGCGUGCUGGGUGGAAGACUCCGGAGCGAUUUGGUAGUGGUGUUGUGGGGGUGGGAGAAAGCCAUGUCAGCUCGUCCGACUCCGACGCGGUGACGCCUGCGGGUGCCGCCACCCCUCCUUGGAGGGCGUCGGGUGACCCGUUUCACCUUCUUCCUCUACAUGCUGGGGGAAUCCCUAGGACAAGUCCGGGCAACAGCGUUGUGGUCGUCGCUAUCCUUACUGAAGGUGUUGCUUGGUAUGCGGCGCUCCGGAAUGUUGGGUACGUGGUGGGACGACUUCGGAGGGUGCAGCGGUGGCGGGUCAUUCAUGUGUCGUCAAGCUGCCAUUGUUGGCAUUUGUUUCUCUCUUCUUCUUCUUGUUUUAUCUUUGGGCUUGAUGUGCUGUUUGCCCCAGCAAUGCGAUAA